UUGGUUUACUUUCAUGGCCUUGUAGCAGUAUUUGGCUGGGCUCAGAAGCUAAGCAAGGUCAUCCCAGGUUUGUAUUUGGAUGGGAGCCCUCCAGGAGGUCUGGACCUGUAGGCUAAA
RNAcentral lists this ribosomal RNA (117 nucleotides) under Notechis scutatus (mainland tiger snake). Lineage: Eukaryota; Metazoa; Chordata; Lepidosauria; Squamata; Elapidae. The record is from RNAcentral.